This 439-nucleotide unclassified non-coding RNA is filed under the name Hevea brasiliensis (rubber tree). The record is from RNAcentral. Lineage: Eukaryota; Viridiplantae; Streptophyta; Magnoliopsida; Malpighiales; Euphorbiaceae.
GAGAGGAGGGAGGGGGAGUGGAUCCAUGUUGAGAAAACCAAGUAGUUUGAGACAGACGCUCAAAGGAUUGAGACAAAAAAUGUGAAUGAAUGUUUCAAUCAAUUAUACCUUGCAUUUAAAUUAGCAAGCAAGAUUUUCAUGGAAAGUCACAAGGCCUAGCUGCUACAUUGGCAAAAUUCAGGAACAUAUAUGAAUACAUGAAAUAGAACACGUCAAGAUCCUUGGCUAACAAAGUCAAAGAAUUGACAAUUCUUAUAACCAAAUCACAAGAUAUGAUCAGGGUUAUACUUUCGCAAGUAUAAAAACUGGAUUAGUAUCACAAUGAGGAUGGAAGUCCAAGUGUGCAGCAACAAACUCUCUUUUAUUAUAAAGUAUUUGAAAUGUUGAAAUUUAGAAAUAUAUAAGCCUAACUAAAACCAGUAAGGAUUGAGUAUAGAAC